Molecule: ribosomal RNA, 472 nt
Filed under: uncultured bacterium
Lineage: Bacteria
Description: bacterial SSU rRNA
Rfam family: Bacterial small subunit ribosomal RNA
Source: RNAcentral
ACUCCUACGGGAGGCAGCAGUGGGGAAUAUUGCACAAUGGGCGCAAGCCUGAUGCAGCCAUGCCGCGUGUGUGAAGAAGGCCUUCGGGUUGUAAAGCACUUUCAGUCGUGAGGAAGGUAAUGUAGUUAAUAGCUGCAUUAUUUGACGUUAGCGACAGAAGAAGCACCGGCUAACUCCGUGCCAGCAGCCGCGGUAAUACGGAGGGUGCGAGCGUUAAUCGGAAUUACUGGGCGUAAAGCGCAUGCAGGUGGUUUGUUAAGUCAGAUGUGAAAGCCCGGGGCUCAACCUCGGAAUUGCAUUUGAAACUGGCAGACUAGAGUACUGUAGAGGGGGUAGAAUUUCAGGUGUAGCGGUGAAAUGCGUAGAGAUCUGAAGGAAUACCGGUGGCGAAGGCGGCCCCCUGGACAGAUACUGACACUCAGAUGCGAAAGCGUGGGGAGCAAACAGGAUUAGAUACCCUGGUAGGAUAGCG